Herpailurus yagouaroundi (jaguarundi) is the source of this 326-nucleotide long non-coding RNA. RefSeq lists it as uncharacterized. The transcript has 2 exons. Lineage: Eukaryota; Metazoa; Chordata; Mammalia; Carnivora; Felidae. The record is from RefSeq and is a predicted model, not a curated record.
CCCCGCCCCUGGCCCCCUGCGCCCCCAGCCCCGCUCCCGGCCGCCGCAAACCGCAGGGGGCGGGUGUGCUGUGGGGACACCCACAGCCGGGCGCCAGCACGCAUCUCAGCCCGUAGAAUUAGGAAAGGUGGGCGGCCACCCACCGAAAACCCACCGCCCCGGAGCCCCUGCCCGGGUUGGAGGAGAAGCCGCCCCCGCCCAGCUCGGCGGCCCCCAGAGGGCACAGGCGUUGGGCCCCCCCGAAGGCACGGAGUUCCGACCCUGGCCAGAAUGGGAUCGCGCUCCGCGAGCAGUGAGUGAAACACACCCUCGGUUCCGUCCGAAAG